Molecule: long non-coding RNA, 964 nt
Filed under: Amborella trichopoda
Lineage: Eukaryota; Viridiplantae; Streptophyta; Magnoliopsida; Amborellales; Amborellaceae
Description: long non-coding RNA (ATRI_LNC003813)
Source: RNAcentral
UCCUAUCCUCACAUACAAUGUCUUGAAAAAGCUUAAAACAGGGCCCGGGUAAGGCAACAAUGGGACUUCGUUGCUUUGUAUUUAGAGAGAGAAGGAAACCCUAAACAGGACCGGGUAAAGUAGAGAUUUGGGUACUCAUUUUUAGGGCUCUAGCAAGAUUUGGAAAGGCAAGAAGAGAUUGUGGAGCUGAUUUUAGAGAUUUUUGAGAGAGAAAGAAACCCUAACCAUACUUUCUUUGUAGAGAUUUGGGUACUCUUAUUUUGGAUUCGUGCAAGAUUUGGAAAGGCAAGAAGAGAUGUGGAGCUGAUUUUAGAGAGAGAAAAGGAAGAGGUGAUUGUUUUUCGUCUGUAAUAUGUAAUUUUUCUUCUGAACCAUACACCUUUUUUAGAAAGCAUGAAAAUAGAAAUACACAAAACAGGGAAAAAAAAUAUAUCUUUCAAAAAAAGAAAAAUUACAGGAUACAAUUUUUUUGUCCCGUAUAAUUCGUUUUUUCGUAAACUCUCGUUUUUAACUUUUUUCCUAAAAAAAGGUGAUUUUUUCCCGAACUUUUCAAAAGGAUGAUGUUUUAAACGUUUUUCAUAAAAGCUCUGUUUUUUUGAAAAAAUCGACGUUUAGUUGCCGAUUUGCUAACUAUGAAUCUCACCAACCUAUGGAUCUUGAUCUCAGGGUCCAGAUCCUUUUGAAAUAUCACCAGCCACUUUGAUAUCUGAUCUGAUAAUGUCUUAUGAAAUUCUAUCAUGUUGUCCUCUAAAACUCGAUUUGAAAACACCCAUCUGGAAUGUUUUUUUUUUAUGAUCGAGUUUUUCGUUACUUGAUCAUGUCUGUUCUGGUGCAUGAGCUGUUAAAUUGGUUUUGAUCCAAACUGAGUUUUAUUGAUUCUUCUAAGUGCCAUUCUGUUUUCUCAGUUGUCUCGACUAUUUUUCUAUCUCCGGUAAAGAUUUGGAGUUUUUUGUCUGAUGGCUCA